This 165-nucleotide ribosomal RNA is filed under the name uncultured bacterium. RNAcentral describes it as "partial 16S rRNA". It matches the Rfam family "Bacterial small subunit ribosomal RNA", at positions 355 to 511 of the family's 1533-position model. The record is from RNAcentral.
UAGGGAAUCUUCGGCAAUGGACGAAAGUCUGACCGAGCAACGCCGCGUGAGUGAAGAAGGUUUUCGGAUCGUAAAACUCUGUUGGCAGAGAAGAACGUUGGUGAGAGUGGAAAGCUCAUCAAGUGACGGUAACUACCCAGAAAGGGACGGCUAACUACGUGCCAG